GAUGAACGCUGGCGGCGUGCCUAAUACAUGCAAGUCGAGCGAACAGACGCGGAGCUUGCUCCUCUCACGUUAGCGGCGGACGGGUGAGUAACACGUGGAUAACCUACCUAUCAUACUGGGAUAACCUCGGGAAACCGGAGCUAAUACCGGAUAAUAUAUUGAACCGCAUGGUUCAAUAGUGAAAGACGGUUUUGCCGUCACUUAUCGAUGGUUCCCCGCCGCAUUAGCUAGUUGGUAAGGUAACGGCUUACCAAGGCAACCAUGCGUAACCGACCUGAUAGGGUGAUCGGCGACACUGGAGCUGGAACACGGUCCAGACUCCUACGGGAGGCAGCAGUAGGGAAUCUUACGCAAUGGGCGAGAGCCUGACGGAGCAACGCCGCGUGAGUGAUGAAGGUGUUCGGAUCGGAAAGCUCUGUUAUUAGGGAAGAACAAAUGUGUAAGUAACUAUGCACGUCUUGACGGUACCUGAUCAAAAAGCCACGGCUAACUACGUG
This 497-nucleotide ribosomal RNA is filed under the name uncultured bacterium. Its description in RNAcentral is "partial 16S ribosomal RNA". It matches the Rfam family "Bacterial small subunit ribosomal RNA", at positions 28 to 507 of the family's 1533-position model. The record is from RNAcentral.